This 885-nucleotide ribosomal RNA is filed under the name uncultured bacterium. RNAcentral describes it as "partial 16S ribosomal RNA". It matches the Rfam family "Bacterial small subunit ribosomal RNA", at positions 430 to 1333 of the family's 1533-position model. The record is from RNAcentral.
CCGCUUUCAGCAGGGAAGAGUCAAGACUGUACCUGCAGAAGUAGCCCCGUCUAUUUACGUGCCAGCAGCCGCGGUAAUACGUAGGGGGCGAGCGUUAUCCGGAUUCAUUGGGCGUAAAGCGCGCGUAGGCGGCCCGGCAGGCCGGGGGUCGAAGCGGGGGGCUCAACCCCCCGAAGCCCCCGGAACCUCCGCGGCUUGGGUCCGGUAGGGGAGGGUGGAACACCCGGUGUAGCGGUGGAAUGCGCAGAUAUCGAAAGGAACACCGGUGGCGAAGGCGGCCCUCUGGGCCGAGACCGACGCUGAGGCGCGAAAGCUGGGGGAGCAAAAAAGAUUAGAUACCCUGGUAGUCCCAGCCGUAAACGAAAGACGGAUAAGGUGGGGGGGGACGAUCCCCCCGUUCCGCAGCCAACGCCAUAAACUUUCCGCCUGGGGAGUACGGCCGCAAGGCUAAAAAUCAAAAAGAAAUUGACGGGGGCCCGCACAAGCAGCGGAGCAUGUGGCUUAAUUUGAAGCAACGCGAAGAACCUUACCAGGGCUUGACAUAUGGGUGAAGCGGGGGAGACCCCGUGGCCGAGAGGAGCCCAUACAGGUGGUGCAUGGCCGUCGUCAGCUCGUGUCGUGAGAUGAUGGGUUAAGUCCCGCAACGAGCGCAACCCCCGCCGCGUGUUGCCAUCGGGUGAUGCCGGGAACCCACGCGGGACCGCCGCCGUCAAGGCGGAGGAGGGCGGGGAGGACGUCAAGUCAUCAUGCCCCUUAUGCCCUGGGGUGCACACGUGCUACAAUGGCCGGUACAGAGGGAUGCCACCCCGCGAGGGGGAGCGGAUCCCGGAAAGCCGGCCCCAGUUCGGAUUGGGGGGUGCAACCCGCCCCCCCGAAGUCGGAGUU